AACCGAACCUCAACCCGCCCGACAGGCUCCAACCCCAGUGUCUGGGACUGCCUGCUGCUGCCGCCUGUGCCUCUUUCCGAGGCCCCUGACCCCUUUCAUCCCCUCUUAGCCUUCACUUCACACUGCCCACUGACAUUCCCUGCUCUUCAGCCACACUGGGACCUGUCAUGUCCAAGCCGUCCGCCCUCAUAUCUGGCAGACAGCUCUGGCAGGAAUAGCUCUGAGCUCCCCCCGACACCCUCUUCCCUCUCUUGCUUCUCCUGCCUCUGUGAAUCAUCCUUCAGCACCUCUUCCAGAGUCACCUCCUCUUCUCCAUUUCUCUCUCCCUCCUUCAUCCCUCGAUUCCUCCUCCUCCUCCUUUAUCACUCUAUCCCUCCUCUUUCUUCAUUCCUCCAUUCCUUCUCUCUCCUUCCUCCGUUCCUCCUCUUCCUCCAUCCCUAUCCUCCUACUCUUUAUCCUACCUCUCUCCCUCCUUCAUCCCUCUAUUCCUCCUCACCCUCUCCUUAUCCUCCAUUCCUCCUUCUCUUCUCUUUUAUCCUGAAUCCCUUCUCCCAUUCAUCACUGUUAUCGGCCAUCCCUCCUCUUCUUCAUUCCUCCCUCUCUCCCCUCUCCUUCCCUAUUCUUCCUUCAUCCCUCUAUUCCUCUUCCUCCUCCUUUAUCACUCUAUCCCUCCUCUUUCUUCAUCCAGCCAAAAACAAGUCUUCCUUCCUCCAUCCCUCUUCCUUAUCCUCUAUCCUUCCUCCUCUUCCUCUUCCCUCCUUCACCUGCAUGGCUUCACCCUCAAGGCUCUGCUCUUCUUAUUCUUCUCUCUCUCCUGAAGCCAAUCCAUUCAUUUUUUCAAAGGCAAAUAAUGCAAACUGAGGAAAGUCCCAGAGAGGCUUGGAGCCAAGAGGAACCCCUUGGCUGGCCCCUUUCAGGGCAGUGAGUUCCAUGGAAAGAAUUCUGGGAAGGAAAUCAGUGGACCUGGGACUUGAAUCAAUCCACCAACUGGUACCCAGCAUUUAUGAACAGGUGAUGCCUGGAACAGUCUCUGCCCACUCUCAAGCAGUGGACAGUUAGGGUCCUUCAUCUAGAGCCAGAAGAGACCUCAGAGAUCAUCUGGUUAAAUCCCUUCACUUGUCAGAAGAGGGAUUUGAGGCUCAUAGAGGUAGAGACCUGCCCAAGAUCCCAUCAGGGUAGUUGGCAGAGCCUGGACUGGGACUCAGUCAUAGUGAGUGAGUCCUUCCCUAGUUCUGGUCCUGAAGCUUCUACUUACUACCGUGUGGCCUUGGGCAAGUCACUGCCCUUUUCUUUUUCUUUUUUAUUAACAGAAAAUUUUAUUUAUUUAUUUAUUUAUUAACAGGAAAAAAAUUAACAUUUGUUUAUUGAGCAG
Molecule: long non-coding RNA, 1372 nt
Filed under: Monodelphis domestica (gray short-tailed opossum)
Lineage: Eukaryota; Metazoa; Chordata; Mammalia; Didelphimorphia; Didelphidae
Description: lncRNA (ENSMODG00000037617.1)
Source: RNAcentral